RNAcentral lists this ribosomal RNA (1110 nucleotides) under Triticum aestivum (bread wheat). RNAcentral's name for it is "partial small subunit ribosomal RNA". Lineage: Eukaryota; Viridiplantae; Streptophyta; Magnoliopsida; Poales; Poaceae. The record is from RNAcentral.
AUGGCGGCCGGAGGAUUAAUGGAGCAGGACCUAAGCAAGCUUGACGUUACAAAGCUCCACCCGUUGUCACCUCAAGUUAUCUCACGCCAGGCCACCAUCAACAUUGGUACAAUUGGUCAUGUGGCCCACGGGAAGUCUACCGUUGUGAAAGCUAUAACCGGAGUUCAGACUGUUCGCUUCAAGAAUGAGCUUGAACGUAACAUCACUAUCAAGCUGGGUUAUGCUAAUGCAAAAAUCUAUAAAUGCGAGGACGACAGAUGUCCACGACCGAUGUGCUACAAGCUUAUGGAAGCGGAAAAGAAGAUUCUCCUGUCUGUGAUGUUCCUGGGUUUCCGUUUCAAAAAAAAUGUUCCUGGGUUUGAAAACACUAGGAUGAAGCUUAUGAGACAUGUUUCCUUUGUUGAUUGUCCGGGUCACGACAUUCUCAUGGCCACAAUGCUUAAUGGAGCAGCUAUCAUGGAUGGAGCCUUGCUUUUGAUAGCAGCAAAUGAGAGCUGCCCACAACCCCAGACAUCCGAGCAUCUUGCGGCUCUUGCGGGUCUCAAACACCUCAUAAUUCUGCAGAAUAAGAUUGAUGUUAUCCAGGAGAGUGCAGCAGUGAACCAGCAUGAAGAAAUCCAAAAAUUCAUCCAGGGCACGAAAGCUGAAGGUGCUCCUGUGGUGCCAAUAUCUGCCCAGCUCAAGUACAACAUUGAUGUCAUCUGUGAAUACAUUGUGAAGAAAAUCCCCAUUCCGGAGAGGAACUUCACAUCACCUCCCAACAUGAUUGUCGUUCGCUCCUUUGAUGUCAACAAGCCUGGUUCAGAGGUUGAUGAGAUCAGAGGUGGGGUGGCAGGUGGCACCAUCCUCAGGGAUGCGAGCGGCAACGUGAAAUGCUCCCCGAUCUACUCGAGGAUCGUCUCGCUCUACGCCGAGCAGAAUGAACUCCAAUUUGCUGUGCCAGGAGGGCUUAUUGGUGUGGGAACGACCAUGGAUCCGACUUUGAGUCGUGCAGAUAGGCUGACCGGCCAGGUCCUGGGAGAAAUCGGGUCGCUCCCUGAUGUGUUCGCAGAGCUUGAGGUUUGUCAAAUCUUUCAUUCUUUUUUCCAAAACAGAGAUAUACUCUACUAG